UACGUAGGGGCCUAGCGUUGUCCGGAAUUAUUGGGCGUAAAGAGCUCGUAGGCGGUUCGGCAAGUCGGAUGUGAAAUCUCCACGCUUAACGUGGAGGGGCCAUUCGAAACUGCUGUGACUCGAGUCCGGUAGGGGAGUGUGGAAUUCCCGGUGUAGCGGUGAAAUGCGCAGAUAUCGGGAAGAACACCCGUGGCUAAGGCGGCUCUCUAGUACGGUACUGACGCUGAGACGCGAAAGCGUGGGGAGCGAACAGG
RNAcentral lists this ribosomal RNA (254 nucleotides) under uncultured bacterium. RNAcentral's name for it is "partial 16S ribosomal RNA". It matches the Rfam family "Bacterial small subunit ribosomal RNA", at positions 524 to 776 of the family's 1533-position model. The record is from RNAcentral.